This is a non-coding RNA of Poecilia reticulata (guppy), 149 nucleotides long. NCBI's taxonomy places the organism in Eukaryota, Metazoa, Chordata, Actinopteri, Cyprinodontiformes, Poeciliidae. The record is from RefSeq and is a predicted model, not a curated record.
UCCUGUCCUUCCCUGGGUGUGCCACUUGUCUCUUCCACUGUGCUACCUGGAUCCCUCAUCCCCCACAACACCAGGAAGAGGUUCCUGUUCCUUGCUCGUGGUUCCCCGUCCCUAUACCUGGUCCUCAAUAAAGACCUUAUUGAUUUUUA